This 34324-nucleotide long non-coding RNA is filed under the name Ananas comosus (pineapple). Its description in RNAcentral is "long non-coding RNA (ACOM_LNC031434)". Lineage: Eukaryota; Viridiplantae; Streptophyta; Magnoliopsida; Poales; Bromeliaceae. The record is from RNAcentral.
GAGAGAGAGAGAGGAAAAUGAGAGCGAGUGGGUGUAUUGGCUGUGAAAGAGAGAGGGGAGAGUGUGUUGGUGUUUUAUUAUGUUGUAACAAUUGCAAUAAAACCCUCCCUUUUCUCUAAUUUGCGGCAGACUUAAUCUUGCUGUCGGGUCCAUUGUGUACCAGUACAGGUUGGGGUGUCACCGGUAACAUGAUUGCGCAGAGGCCAACCCGAGCGCUACUGUUCGGGUUUUGCCAAAGUGGACCGGUACACACCAGGGCUGUCACCGGUAACACGAUCAUUUUUCUCCAACCCGAGAGCAACUUCCUCUCGGGCAGCACUGUUGUACUAGUACAACAUCGAUGUUGUACCGGUACACUUUGCCCAGACUGCAGUUUUUGCAUCUUUUCGACUUCUCUUCGCGUCGAGCAAUGCUAAAACCUUUCUAACCCUUUUGGAAUUCAUUCUUAACCCUUCCAACAUUGUUGGAAUGCUAAGUAAAACUUGUCCAACUAUUUCUUUCGCACACUUUAGCCAAUUUGGCCAAAGUUCGAGUUUCUUUACUGAGUUUCGGUACGUUACAAUACGUCAAAUUAUUCAGAUGUGUAAGUUGAUAGAAGAUGCAUGUAUAUAUGGUCAUAUAUAUAUAUAUGGUCAUGUAUAUAUGAUCAAAAGCUUACAAAAUUGACAAUUUUUAACGGCCGGUAUGGAAUAUUUUCUAGUUUAAUGGUGCAAAAGAAUCCGAAUAGGUUGAAUUUUUGACAGAAAAUUCUAUUCACUACCUAGAUAAAGAUCAAGAACUCCGAUCUUAAAUUGAAGGAUCCGAUCAUCCAUUUUUAAGACAUUGUUCUAUUUUGACCGUUCAUUUUAUGCCUGCUUGAUGGACUUUAUUAUGAUUUUGAAAAAUUACGAAAUUUAUUUUCUAGAAGUUUCAAAUACUCUAGAUCAUAUUUAACGAAGUGGAUCGUCGAUCGGAAGCUCCAUCAUCGAAAACAACUUAUGUGUACGAAGGGCCCAAUACUUAUAAUAGUAUAGUAGCCCUACUCUCUCUCUCUCUCUCUCUAUAUAUAUAUAUAUAUAUGAAAAUAGUCAAUGAAUUGUAUGGACUUUUUGGGUUCCAUAAGACGUGAAAAUCGAGAAGGCCCUGGUCAACAUAAAUUCUCCAAAGAUAAUUUAGGAUUGUCAUAUCUUGAGCCCUGCAAGUUGGACUUGCUCGAGCACAUACAAUAGAUAUCCACCGAAUGGGCAAGACUUUUCCUUACCUACAUGAAGUGGAAAUAUAAAGCAACUUGCACAACACAUACAUGAUAUGAGUAUAUAAAAUAUCAAAGUAUUUAGCUACUAAAUUAAAACCAUUACAAUUUAUGUAAUAUACGGCAUCCUGGAGUUGCGAUGUCAAUUUUGAUCUAUUGGAUCAAAGUGUAGAUUGAGCUAGUUGGACAUCAUCCCCGAGUGACUUUGGACGCGUGAGAAUGAAUUCCGAUGAUAAAUAAGUGUUUCGGCGCAAAUUGGGCGCGAAACGAAAUGUAAAUAAAAUUUUCGGAAUUCUGACGCUAACUUUGAUUAAAAGAAUUAAAGCGAGGCUCGGAGAUAAUUUAUGGAGUACCCAAGUUAGUCUGGAAUGACUCGUGCCGAAAUCGGAGCGAAAACAGAAGAACUGGAAUUUUCUGUAAAGAACGGGACUGAGAAAUUAGCAGAAAAUGCACAGUGUCAGAAAAUUAUGAAAAUUGGCGGAGAUGUCAGGAACAUUGGUAUGAGGCCAAAUUUCAAGUUUCACAUUAUUCUGACACCUGUAGAGAGAGAAAUAGCAUCCGAAAGUUAUCUGAUGAAGAUUACAGUUCGGGACAGUUCGCAGUGACCAAACGGGGUCGAAACUGAAAUGUUAAAAUUUCAGUGGACUUGUUAAGUAAAAACGAACAUGUCUGUCAAAUUUGAGCUCAAUCGAACUUUCGGAAGGGCUUACGAAAGGUAUUUAAUCCGCGCGGCUAAACGGAUAAGUCGAGGGGCAUUAUGGUAAUUAACCUAUGCCUUAGUGGAUUUCCACUAAACCUGCCAGGCAGCCCCCCUCCAUCCUUAUCCCCUCUCCUUGCUGCCAUACGUAGAGAGAGAGAAGGAGAAAAGAAGAGAAAAGAAAAGAAGAGAAAGGAGAAGAAAAGAGAAGAAGAAGAAGAAAUAGAAGAAGAAGAAAAGAGGUAGGUUUUACCUCUCUCCCUCUCAUCCCUCUCUCUCUGUAGUAACAGCAGCAGCAGCAGCCCUUGCUGCUGCUGCGAGCAGGAACAGCAGCAGCAAGCUGCUGCUGAAGCAGCAGCAGUAGCAUCAGCAGCUGCUGCUGGAGCAGCGAGCAGCAGCAGCUGCUGGAUCAGCAGCAGCAGCUGCUGGAUCAGCAGCAGCAGCAGCAAGCUGCUGCAGCAGCAGCUGCUCAGCCAGCUGCUGAGCAGCAGCAGCAGCAGCAGCUGCAGCAGCCAUCAGCAGCAGCAGCAGCACAGCAGCAGCAGCCUCAGCAGCAGCUACCAGCAGCAGCUGCAGCUUAGCAGCAGCAGCAGCAUGCGCAGCAACAGCAGGAAAGAAAAGAAAGAAAAGAAAGAAAGAAAGGAAGAAAAGAAAGAAAGGAAGAAAAGAAAAGAAAGAAAAGAAGAAAAGAAAGAAAGGAAGAAAAGAAAGAAAGCCAGAGAGAAAAGAAAGAAUUAAGAAAGAGAGAGAUCGAAAAUAAGUUAGGAUUUCGAUAAAAACGGGGUUUUUAUAGAAAUUGACCCCGGCAAUGCACUUUUGCAAAGUAAGAGUCCUAAUGCGAAAUUGACCGCGUGUAAACCAAAUUGAGGGUAAAAGAAACGCGUUGGCGAAGUCGGUUCGGCAAUCCGACGAACCUACGCAAAGAUAUCGCCAAAAGAAGUUUUUCGGCUAUAGUUGCCGUUUUAUAUAGCAUUGAAAUGCUAAUUUGUAAAAUAUGAGUAUUGACUCUAGUUUAACCUUUUCUAAUCCUUUAUAAGUAAAAAGUAAACAUGCCCAAGAGUCUAAAUUGACUUUUCGACAGGUCGACGACGCGCUAAUUACGGUAGCGGCCGUUCUAGUCCUAUUUGCACGGAGUCGCGAGAGAUAGUCGUCGACGCUUUCUGAAACGUGGAUUCUAGUUGAUUGACACCACUACAGGUGGGUGGUGCUAUCCGAAGUCAUCGAAUCCCUCUUUAUGUCUAUGCUAUUCUAUUGAGCAUAUCUAUUUAUGUGAAUUGUAUCAUAUUCAUGCAUUAUAGGGAAAAGUGUUAUUGUGCAAUUGAAUUUAUGUUAAUGUAAAGAACAUGUGGGCCAUAGAAUAUGAACAUAGAACCCUAUAAAUGUGUGAAUUGUACUGUGGACUAUGAUAAUAGUAAAUUCGGUGACAUUCUAACUAGAGAUUUAGUUAGCAUCAAAAAAAUGGAAUUGUGAAACUAGCAUAAAGAACUAGUCAGAGUUACUUGUGGCAUUGUCAGUUGUUGUGAAUCCUCUGAAGGAGGAUCAGAUCUUACUCACAUAGUCUGUUUCUUAGCUUGGUGGUGGUCGCUCCCCCCAGGCAGUGAGCUCCGGAGUAGUCACUUGUUGGGCUAACGUACUUGCCCCAGGACUAACGUACUUGUCCGACAGACGGUCCCAUCGGGAGGCAGCUUAGGGCCCGUGAGGGAUUUCGUUGGUGAGUUAUUGUUAACCAAAGGGUUAACCACUGAAUUGGGUAAAUUUAUGGGCUAACGUACUUGCCCCAGGACUAACGUACUUGUCCAGCUGUUAACCAGAGGGUUAACCAAAAGAUUGGGUAAAGUUAAUGAAAAGCAUGCAUGCAUAUUUACAGUUUUCAUAUCUGUUACUUCUUUCAGCUUUGUACAGGCAUUGUAGUAGUUACAUGUUAUAGUUGGUUACUAUCUGCUUACUUUUCUUGCCUACAUAUGCCUGAGUAGACCUAGUGGGUGAGUCGGCGAGGUCGGCAGCCGAACCCACUGGGAACUUUCUUGUAGUUCUCACACCACUAACCAUACAGGUUCCAGUGCGAGUUUUGAGGCCGAGGAUCGUGGCAAGGGCCCUGCAGCUUAGCUAGCUGACACCAGAGUUUAGCAAUUACCAUUUUGAGUUCAUGUAUCAUCCAUUUUGAUGUACAGAGACAUGUAAAUGAAUGUAUAAAAAGCAUGUAUAUAACUAAAUGUUUCAGUUACAAGUUCAGUUGUGUAAAAUUUUAAAUUACAGUGAAUUUCAUUGUACAGUUAGUUUACUAUCACUUGUGUUUGUUGCUUGCCUUCGUGCAAGCCAUGUAUAUUGAAAUGUGAUCCUGGGAAUUAUUUAUUUCUUUAUACAUGUACUCGUUGUUGUUGAGCCUUGGGCGAACAGAGGAGGUGCUGUUCGUUCGGCGUCUGUGCGCGGGCCCGGAUCGACCAAAUUGGCGAUAACGGGACGUGACAGAUAAAGUGGUAUCAGAGCAAGUGAUAAGUAAAGGUCUAGGAUGACCUAGGGGACUCAGGAUUGGAAACCUAGGAACCAGGAACGUGAGUGGCGUGAAUUUAAUGAUAGCGAAAGCUAAAUAAAUUGGGUUAGUUGUUAGUAAGUCUCUAAUGCUAAUUAGGGGCUGAUCCAAGUGUUAUUUAUAUGCAACUAAAAAGAGUUAUGUUGAAUGGCCACAACAUAAAGCUAAGGGUUGAGUAUAAAUGCACUUGAAUUGCUUUCGCCUGAUUGGUUUUGUUCCAAUAAUGUGAAUGGUUCAUUUCAGGAGAAUGCCGCGACGUGCGACGAGAUCCACUCCGGCAUCACCUUCCAGGGUGCCAGAGCAGAUUGGAUCCAGCGAGGUUCAGGAGUUGCGUGCUCAGGUGAGCGCGCUGGUUGGAGCUAUACAGAGACAGGAGGAAAAUAUGAAAAAGCUACAGGAUUUGGUGUCGCAACAGGCGACGACAGCAGCUUCUGGGAGUCAGGAUGUACCUAUCCCGGAUCCGCCAGUCGUAGUGCCCCCUCCUCCAGUUGUUAUUCCUCCUGUGGUCUCUGGGCCUUUUAGUUCUGAUUCGGCCGCGACAAAGGCCGAGCACGAGCGAUCCUUAUCAGUACUGACGGCGUUCAUGCGGUUUAAUCCGCCGAUGUUUGACGGGAAAGAAGCCGAUCCUUGGGUACUGGAGACGUGGUUCACAUCGAUGGAAGCCUUGUUUGAGGAUAUAUAUACCCUGGAAAAGGAUAAGGUUCAUUUAGCAGCGCACUGUUUUGAGAAGGAUGCCCAGAUCUGGUGGCAAAAGGCCAAGAAAAGCCGAGUUCUAAACACUUCAUCGAUUACCUGAGAGGAGUUUAGAGAGAUCAUAUUCAUGGAGUACUUCCCAGAUAGCGAUAGAAGAAAGAUGAAAGAAGACUUUCGAAAGUUAAGACAGGGAAACCGUUCGGUACGGGAAUACGAACGGGAAUUCACUCAUUUGGUGAACUGUGUACCAGGCAUGGUUCAUACUGAUAGAGAUCGAGCAGAUUACUUCGAGCGGGGGUUACGGCCUGAAAUAUUUAAGAUAAUUAGUGCUCUAAAGUUAAAGUCAUUUGAGGAAGUCUUGGAUCGAGCUCUUUGGGUGGAGCGCAGCAAUGCGAUUGCGCGUGAGGAACGCGAGUCCUUUGAUAGAGAACGAGAAAGAGAAAAGGAAAAGAAGCGAACCACUGGUGGCGCCGGGGGACAGUCGAGCUCUAAACGACCCCCUCGGUAUCCACGGCCACAGCAGAGGUAUCAGGGACCCCCGGGAUGCGUGAUUUGCGGCGGGAAUCAUCAAGCGGUAGCUUGUUCACAAAAGGACGGUAAAUGUUUUAAGUGUGGACAGCCGGGACACAUUAGUCGUGAUUGCCCGAGAGGAGCAUCAUCUGCUCAGCCUACAGCUUCAGUUCAGUCGCCUGCGAGGCAGCGUGCGGGUCCCCCACCUGCUAUGUCAGCUGGACAUACUUUUGUGCCGCGUCAGUACGAGCCACCCCGACCUGCACCGAGUGGUCGUGUCUUUGCAGCUCAGGUUGAGGAUCCUACCGUGGUCGACGAUGUCGUGGCAGGUAUUGUUUUACUUUAUAGUACUAGAUCGCGUAUAUUAUUGACACUGGUGCAUUGCAUUCAUUCAUUAGUAGCUCAUUUGCUAGAACGCAUGACAUUGAGAAGUCGGAUGAUAUUCCGAGGGGUUGCGUAACAGUAAUGGCGUCACUGUUGGGAGGUCGUUAGAUUAUCGCCUGGUUUUGGCGAGUUAAUUGAGUUGUACCUCAAAUCAAUUGAGGAAAUUUGUAUUUAUGUAUUAUAGUCAUAGGCUAAGUUGCCUAACGAGCACUUGAGGAGUGCUAUCUAGCGAGAGACGCGAUCGUGUUGGACACUUGAGUUAGUUGUCCGUAGAUUGUGGAUUGUGGAUCAGCCUGAAGAGUGAAUUGGCAGUAGCACUUUAGCAGGGCUAAGUGUGAAGCGGACCAUGGAUCACUCUUAGGGCUGUUGGCUCGCACUAGGUGCUUAAGAGCCGUUAGAGUGGGUAGCUCUGUAGAGCAUGUCGUGCAGGACGACGUUGGCGGGUAGUGCUUGGGGACGAUCCGUGCCUGAACCCUUUUUGGACUGUGGAGCCUGGGCCCAUUGGGCAGGCGCAAUCAGCUGCGAGAGGCAACGUCCCGGUACCUACGGGUAGGGCAGAGAGUUUUGGUCAGGACGGUAGUCCGAGCUUGAACCCGAGUACGUGGAAUGCCACGUGUUAAAUCGUGAGAUCGAGAACACACAGGGUGUGUAGCGACCCAACCCGAGGACUUGGCAUGGUUUGGGGUCUUGGUUUCUCCUAGUUGGAGUGUGUGCGAAUUCUCCAGUGAGAAUAUCGCCCGAUGACGAUUGGGUUUGCGCUUGCGAGCGAGAGACGCUAGGCGUCGUUGAGAUCGGUUUAAGCUAUAGGCCUACGUAGGAUUGGUGGCCCUUGGUCCACCUGUGGAAACCGAUGGUCGGUGCGGCUGACAACUCUGUUGGUGAAUUUUGGCUUGAACCACGAAUGGUGGGUUCAUAUAAAUUCGUCGCAAGAGCGAAUGGACAUUGGUCGUGGCUUGUAGUAUCCAAGAAUAAAGAGAGAGUAAAGUGGUCUCUAGGAGACACUUGAGUAAUGAUUAGCCACAUGAAACAUGAGAAAAUUAUGCCUUCAAGUCAUUGGAAUUGUGGAGAUGUUAGAAUUAAUCCCUUCAUUCAGAAGUGGAAAAUUGUGUGUGAUUAAACACUCAUAAUUGAGUGGUGUAUUGUGAUAUCGCCGAUAGCGAUGCCAGUUGAGAAAUCAAAGCAGACUCCACUAGAGAGUAAUGAAUAUAGUAGAGGUUAUGGAAUCACUAAAUGAAGUGAAUUGGAAAUAAUAUCAGUUGUACAUUCUGACAUGCGAAGAGUACCAAGUAUGCAUUUUGGAUCGAGAAGUAAAGGAAUUGCGAAAUCGCGCUAUUCCCUACGUGAAAGUCCAAUGGAGUAAUCACACAGGACGUGAGGCUACUUGGAAAUUGGAGGAAGUUGUGUGUGAAACCUCUCCCCAUCUGUUUGAUCAAGAGUUUUGAGGUAUGAAAUCGAGUUUCGAGGACGAAACUAUUUUAAGGAGGGGAGAUUGUAAUAGGCUGAAACUUGAUUAGAAGCUAAUUGUGAUCAAAGUGGGCACAAUAAUGUUAAAAUGGAAAUUAAAGACAUCUAAACUGAAUUAGAAGCUUGAGAUCAGUCAUUGGCACACUCUGGAAGUGUGGGAAUAGAUACAAGUGGAAAAGAAGUGACAAAAGAACUCCAAUUGCCAUGGUAACUCGAAUGCUGAAUUUUGUAGUCGAUUUGGUCGAAAUGAACCAUAUGAUGUCAAAAUGAAAAGGAAUUGCUUCCAAAUUAAACUGGUAGCUUGUGAAAGUCCCUUGGCAUGUUUUGGAAGUGUUCGUGUUGAAAUCGGAGCAAAAACAGAAGAUUUGAAAUUUUCUGUAAAGAACGGGACUGAGAAAUUAGCAGAAAAUGCACGGUGUCAGAAAAUUAUGAAAAUUGGCAGAGAUGUCAGGAACAUUUUUAUGAGGCUAGAUUUGAAGUUUCAGAUUUUUCUGACACCUGUAGAGAGAGAAAUAGCAUUUGGAAGUUAUCGGAUAAAGAUUGCAGUUCGGUACAGUUCGCAGUGACCAAACGGGGUCGAAACUGAAAUGUUAAAAUUUUUUUGGACUUGUUAAGUAAAACCGAACAUGCCUGUCAAAUUUGAGCUCAAAUGGACUUUUAGAAGAGCCUACAAAAGGUAUCUAAUCCGUGCGACUAAACGGAUUAGUCGAGGGGCAUUAUGGUAAUUAUCACCAAGUUAGAUGGAAUUGCACUAAGUUCCCUGCCAGGGAGCUCCAUCCUUAUCUCCUCCAUCUUCAGCAUCCAUACGUAGAGAGAGAGAAGAAGAGAAAAGAGAAGAAGAGAAAAGAGAAGAAGAAGAAGAAGAAGAAAAAGAAAGGUGAGAAAUUUUAUUCCUCUCUCUCUCUGCUGGCUAUGUCCCUCCCCCUUGCUCUUUUUCCCUGCUGCUGGAAACAGCAGCAGCAGCACCAAUUUUUCCUGCUGCUGCAGGCAAGAGCAGGAGCAACAGCAGCUCUUUCUGCUGCUGCAAACAGGAGCAGCAGCAGCAGCAGUAAGAACAGCAGCAGCUUGUGCAGCAGCAGUAACAGCAGCUGCUGGAGCAGCAGCAGCCAGCAGCAGCAGUAGCACUAACAGCAGCAGCAGCUAAAGCAGCAGCUGCAGCAGUCAACAGCAGCAGUGGCAGCAGCUUCAGCAGGAGUAGUAGCAGCAGCAGCAGCUGCCCUGCAAGAAAAGAAAGAAAAGAAAGCAAGAAAGAAAGGAAGAAAAGAAAGCAAGAAAGAAAGAAAAGAAAGAAAGAAGGAAAGGAAAAGAAGUGAAAGAGAGAUGCAAAAUAAGUUAGGAUUUCUAUAAAAACGGGGUUUAAAUGAAAACUGACCCCGGCAAUGCACUUUUGCAAAAUAAGAGUCCUGAUGCGAAAUUGACCUCGUGUAAACCAAAUUGAGGGUAAAAGAAACGCGUUGGCGAAGUCGAUUCGGCAAUCCGACGAACCUACGCAAAGAUACCGCCAAAAGAAGGUUUUCGGCUAUAGUUGCCGCUUUAUAUAGCAUUGAAAUGCUAACUUGUCAAUUAUGAGUAAUGACUCUAAUUUAAUCUUUUCUAAUCCUUUAUAAGUGAAAAGUAAACAUGCCCAAGAGUCUAAAUUGACCUUUCGCGAACAGGUCGACCGACACGCUAAUUAGGUAGACGACCUGCUCUAGUCUCUAUUUGCACGUAAAGCUGGUCUGCAUAGAGAGAUAGUCGAACGACCGUUUGCAGACCGUGGAAUUCUAGAGUUGAUUUGACCCGACUACAGUGGUGUGCUAUUCCGAAGUCUUUGAAUCACCUUCUUUAUUCUAUAAUUUCUUCGUUGAGCAUAUUAUAUUUGUAGUCUGCAUUAUAGGGUUUGUGCGCAUUGAGCAGUGAAAUGUGAAUUCCUAUCAACAAUAAGAAUUUGUGGACUUACUGGAUGUGGACAAAUAGAACCGCUAUGAAUGCAUGGACUUGUACAAUAGUGAACUUGUGACAUUCUACUAAGAGAAUGAGUAGCAUUGUAGAAUAAACAGUGAAAUUGUGAACUAGCAAUAAAAGAUGUCUAUGUCUAGAAGUUAAAUUUAGUAUUUCAGUAUGUGAAUCCUCUAAAAACGAGGACCAGAUUCUUACAUAUGAACAUUAGAAUGUGACAUAGAACCCUAUGAAUGUAUUGAAACUGUAAAGGACGCAAGACCAAUAGUAAGACUUUGGUGGACCAUCCAUGAUAGAGAUUUGGUUAGCGGCAUCGGAGAUGUAGUUAUAAACUAGUAUAAAGAGACUAGUGAAGAGUUAAAUGUGACUGUGUCAGUUGAAAUCCCUCUAAUCGAGGAUCAGAUCUUACUCCAAGAGUCUGUUUUCUCUAGCUUGGCGUGGUCGCUCCCCAGGCAGUGAGGCUGCGAGUAGUCACUUGUUGGGCGCUAACGUACUUGCCCGCAGGAUAACGUACUUGUCCGAGCAGGACCGGUCGCCAUCGGGGAUGGGCAGCUUAGGCCCGUGAGACGUGAUUUAAAGUUAGGUGAGUUAUAUUGUUUAAACGAAGGUUAACCCAUGAAUUGGGUAAAUAUUAGGCUAACGUACUUCGCCAAGGACUACAGUGACUUGUCGACAGGAAUCCGUCCAUCGGAGGGCUGCGAGGGCAGCGGAGAGUAAGGGCUCGUGAGGCGAUUUCGUAUUGGUGAGUAUAUUGCGUUAACCAAAGGUAUAACACUACUAGAAUUGAGCGAGAUAAAAUUUGAAUCGCCAUAAACGUACUUGCCCAAGCCAGGACUAGCAUGUGACUUGUCACUGUUAACACGCAGAAAGGGUAUAACGAAAAAGGAUUGGGUAAAUUUAUGAAAAGCCAAUGCAUGUCAUUUUUACCAGAUUUUCAUUAUCUGUUACUGUCUUCAGCUUGCUACAGGCAGUUGUACGUAUACAUGUUAUAGUUGGUUUACUAAUCUGCUUACUUUUCUGCUACAUAUGCUGAGUAGACCUAAGUGGUGAGUCGGCGCAAGUCGGCAGCCGAACCCACUGGAACUUCUUGUAGUUCUCAACACCAGCAUAACGCAUACAGGAUUCGCAGUGCGAGUUUUCCGAGCACGAGGAUAGUGCAGAGCGGCCUGCACUUAGCUAGCUAGACCCACGAGUUUAUGCAAUGUACCAUUUUGAGUUCAUGUAUCAUACCAUUUUGAUGUACAAGGACAGUAAAUGAAUGUAUAAAAAGCAUGUAUAUACUAAAUGUUUUAGUUAUGCUAAAGUUUAAAUUACAAGUGAAUUUCAUUGUACAGUUAGUUUACUAUCACUUGUGUUUGUUGCUUGCCUUCGUGGCAAGCCAUGUAUAUUGAAAUGUGAUCCUGAGAAAUUAUUUAUUUCUUUAUACAUGUACUCCGUGUUGUUGAUUGGCCUUGGCGCGAACAGAGAGAGUGUGUUCGUUCGUCGAGCGUCUGUGCGCGGGCCCGGAUCGACCAACAGUUUGGGCAGAUGAACGGAGACGUCGACACGUCGCACCAUCCAAGAUAUAACGAAUGUUUCCACUAGGAUCGGAUAUGCACCCAGAUUGCAUAGGAAAGUAUAAAAUACAUAAAUACUUGCUAUUACAGGCCAUCAUUUCACUUAGUACAAUCUCAUUUCAGUUACAUUUACUAGUCCAAAUUACAAUCACAUUAUUAACAACAUUUAAGUUUACAAAGUUGAUACAUUUUGAUCUCCUUGGUUUCUAGUCCCCUAGAGUAGACUGGGCUCAGGUAGCUGCUACCUAGUAUCUACUGGUAGGAUGGCGCUAUCGUACUGAGCUACGCCUCCGCCAACCCAUACCGGCGCGCUGCCACGUACAACUGAAACAUGUGCCCAAAAACCACGUGAGGUGAGAACCACUCCCAUGGUUCCCAGUUGGCACAGUCCUACGGCCAAGAGAGCGUGCGAGAGCGCGAUAGUCCGAGGAGGCCUGCACAGAAUGCAGUUCAACAAUAUACAACAUGAUAUAUAUUAUUCAAAUUGAAACUACAUCGCCGAUGCCUCACGAUAUUCGAUAUGAAAAUCAUGGCAACUCUAUGCGUAAUAGUAGAUCAAGUCGAUCCUACACUUUAGCCUGGUCUACUCUAGGCCCAUAUCUUUACUCUAAAGUGUUUUCUAUUAUCUUAGGAUCUCAACUCAGGCCACUGGCUUCUAAGGUCUCUAUUACCUUAGCUCAAGCCUCUAUCUCUAGCUCAUAAGGGUUCCCCUACCCUAUCGAAGCUAACCACCCGACUCGGCAUCGAGUCAAUCAUCUGCGGAUAGUCCGCGCACUGGCUGCUCAUCAGCCUACCGCCCUCUCUGUCUCAGCCCCCUAGCGGCAAAGUCGUCGCACACGCUAAGCCCAGCUCAAGUAGCAUGGCUUAACCAUCUGGCGGCGAACACGUUGCUCUUACCCAGCGUGAGCUCGAGUCAUGACACACCGUCAGGCGGCGAACGGAUAGCACCACACCCAACAACGGUACAUGUCAGACUCAGCGACCUGGAGGCACCCGCAUCGUACUUACCUAGCAUGGAUUCAGUCUUCUCUGGCGGUCUGAUCAUCAAAUAGCUUAACCAUCCGGCGGCGAAAUCGUCGCACAAACACCAUGACAAUGGUUCAAGCCCCGGGCGGUGAUCUCCAUGUGAUCGCCCCCAAUCCUCCCUCGGUGCCAAGCUCAGCGGCGAAGUCGUCGCACACGCCCUAGCUUGCUACCAGGGUCAUCACAAAUCCUGGGAUUCCGGAAUCCACUUUCCACAGGUCGAGGGUCCAUAGCCCACCCUAUACUGUCGACCUAGCUCUUCCUAGUGGCUAUACCACUAUACUCAUCAACCUAGGUUUCAACACUCUAGGUUCUAACCAUGUCGCUUAACCUAGUUGCAAUUGCUAGGUCCUUGUCCUCUUUGCCUAGAUGUCCAUUUCUAGGUUUACUAGUUCGACCUAGGUUUACUAACACUAGGUUCGAUGCCACACACCUAGAUUGUUCAACUCUAGGUUCACUUAUUUAACCUAUGUUCCUUAACACUAGGUUAGAUGCCACUCGAUCUACUUGACAACCUAGUUGUCCAAUCAACUCUCAUUACCCAUCAACUCUACAUUUCUAGAGUUAUCAUCUAGUUUACAUGCAUAUAUAUAUAUAUAGCAUUCUUUUUACAUUAUUUACAUGUCAUGUUCAUCAUGCUUGCUACUUAGCAUUUACAUGUCAUGUUCAUCAUGAUCGCUUCGGUAAGCACAACCCACCUUAGUUAGCUUUUCCGAUUGCUUGUCGACGCUUGCAAUCGGCCUCCCGCGGCACUCAGCACCCGCUUGGGCCCGAUCUCACAGUUGCUCCCCAAGAGCGCGUCGCUUCGCCGUUCCAAGUGCUAAUGGUCUUCGCCUCGCCGUAACGGUGCUCGCGACCAGAUUUUACAAUUUAUGGACGUCUCCUCGGCCUCCCAGGCGAAAACGAAGCUCCGAGUGCCCGUUUCUUCAAUAUCUUCGCAAUGGCUUGUCGAAUUGUUGAACCAACUUUGCCAACGUGUUUCGUUACCUAUCAAUUAGGUUUACGAAGGGUCAAAUGAAAUCAAACUCAUCUAUUUACAAAAACCCCACUUGGAUGCCCUAGAAUGCCAUCACUACCAAAUCCACCAAAUCGAUCUAUGAUUUGGGUAUAAUCUAUCUAGAUAGCAUGCUAGGGUACUAAAAAUACUAUUUCUAGGGUUAAAACCCCCAUUCACAAGAGAUCUACCAUGAGAGGGCACCAAGCUUACCUCUCAAAGAGCUCCAUGGGGAAGAAGAAGAUGAAGAGGAUGAUGACAGUGAUGAUUCUCUUCUUCUCCUCCAUCUUCUCUUUCUUUUCCUCUUCUCUUUUCCUUUCUUCCUCCCUUCUCUUCUUUUCCUUUUCCUCCUCACGAUCGGAACGAGAGAAAGAGAGACAGUGAGGGAGAGUGUGAGGGAGUGAGAGAGAAAGAGAGAGAGAUGCCUCUCUCUAAUACCCUCUCAUAUUGUAACAAAAUGCUGUUUAGUCCCUCAACUUUUCAUCUCUUACACAGCCCUCACUGGGCGUUCUGCGCGCGGAGGGACUGGUCUCCCCGACUAGGGACCGGUCCCCGAGAGCUCUCUCAGAUAGCACACGUUCGGGAACCGGUCUUUCCCUGAGGGACCAGUCCCCAGGAGACCGGUCUGCCCACCAAAGACCGGUCCCCGAGAGCUUGUCUCGUGGGACUUAGCCGAUUUUCGGCCAUUUCCGCUGGGAUCACCUACGGGGACCGGUCCCUCCCUGACCAGGGACCGGUCGCACCAGCGACCCCAGUCUCUGCUGAUAGGACCGGUCUGUCCAACCAGAGACCGAUCCCCGAGGGCAACUUCAGCCCAAUAAUACAAUUUGCAUGAUUUGCCCUCGCGGACUCCAUUCCAAUGCACUUCUUGGAUUUUGUGCAUCCUAAGCUUUUCCAAAGCUUAUCCAAUCGACCAUUAGUCAAUUCUGGACGAGGUGCAACUCUCGGAUUUCGAGAAUUCAUAUCGUUACAUCUAGAGAGUUUCUACUCUUGUAAGAAGCUCAAAUCCAAAGGUCUAGGGUAUAAGAUCCAAGCCCUAACCUAGAUCUUACAAGAAAACCUUACUUUUGCCCUAAGCUCUCCAAAGUCCACCUUGUAGGGGAGUCCCCAAGCCUCCAAAACCCAAGAAAUCUCCUCCAAAUCCUUCCUUUCUCCUUCCCCUUAGCUCUUGGGAGAGAUUUCUAGAGAGAGAAAGAGAGAAAUGAGAGAGGAGAGGUGUUUGGCUGUGAAAGAGAGAGGGGAGGGGUGUUUGGGGUGUUAUUAUGUUAUAACAUUUACAACAAAACCCUCCUUUUUCUCUAAUUUGCAGCAGACCUAUUCUUGCUGCCAGACCCAAUUUGUAUCGGUACAGGGCAGGUGUUACCGGUUACAGGAUCGCGCAAAGGCAAACCCAAGAGCAACUUCUCUCGGUCUGCACUAUUGUACUGGUACAGAUACAAUGUUGUACCGGUACAAAAGCUCCCGACUUCUAUUUUUGCAUCUUUUCGAUUCUAUUUCGCGCCGAUCGAUGCUGAAACCUUCCUAACCCUUUUGGAACUCAUUUUUAACCCUUCCAACAUUGUUGGAAUGUUAAUUUGAUUUUGUCCAACUUUUCUCUUGGAUGCUUUAGUCAAUUUGGCUAAAGUCCAAUAUUCUCUACCGAAUUUCGGUACGUUACACUAACGUACUUGUCCAGCAGACGGUCUCGGGUUUGCGAGCGGGAGAAUCUCCUCACCUGUGGGAUUGCACUGUGAGUCGGGGGCAAACCUUCGGGUUAGCCUAGUUGAUUGGGUGAACAUAUGAAUGACUUAUUUGUUGAGCAUAGUAGCAUGAUAGUUGACUUCAUUACUAUGUAGAUUUUCAUUCAUUUGCUAUUGAUUGAGGCAUAGUAGCAUGUUAGUAGAAUUCAUACUAUGUUAGCAGCUUAUUUCCAUAUUGUCUAUCUAUCUACUUAUGUCUGCUUAGACCUAGUGGGAAGAUCGGCGGAGUCGGCGGCCGAACCCACUGAGAACUAUUAUUAGUUCUCAUCCCACUUUGUUGCAGGACUGAGUUCGAGCGGGCCGGGCGAGGACCGUGGUAAUUAAGGGCAUAGCACCCUAGUUAGCUAGUAGCUUUCCAUUUGCAUUAGAGUACCUUUUGUACAUGAAUGAUAUAUGAUGUAUAUUGGUGAGGAUGCCUUUUGGAGGGUUGUGGAUGUACACUUAUGUUAUGAGAUGAACAUGUGAAUAAAGUGUAUCUAUUUAGAUGAUGUAAACCCAAUGUAAAUGGUUGAAUGCAGUGUGGAUGUAAUAGCUAGAACCCUCUCUUGUUUGCUUGUAUUAUUACUUGCUUGGAUCAUGUAUGUGGUUGAUAUUUUUCCUGGGCAACUAUAUGUACAUGAUCUUGUUGUUGAGCCUAGGGCGGACAGGGGAGGUGCUGUCCGUUUGGCGUCUGAUCAACGUACCCCAACCGACCAAAUUGGCGGUUGCAGGGCAUGGCAAAUGGUCCAGAAGGUCUCGAUGUGCCCAACACCGUGCUCGCUCUCUAGAGUGCAAUCGACGAUCACAGAGCCUCAAAAUAGCAAGAAAACCACUCCUUCAAAAAUGUUUCGAGAGUGGCCAAGCCCGUCGCACGCACCAGGGUUUUGCUGAUUGCAACAAAGGUGAGCACGAGACUCCACAGGGUACCAGGGGUGUCGUUUUCAUGCUUCGGAGACUCGACGAAGUUCUAGGUGGCUGAAAAUCUGAGCUCGGCCCAGGACCAAACCUUGGCAAAAAUCGAGUAUGGCUAGGGUAGGACCCAGGCGGUGGCCAGCUGCACGACGGAGCAAGCCUUGGUUAGGGGAGGCUCACUACACCCAGAAGAGGCGGUCGGCACCCCUAGCCGGCAGCGGGAAGUUGCGACAGUGCGGCGCUGCCAUGAGGCCUACGGCUAGGGCUCGUGCGCCCGACCUCUCCGGCGGCUCGGGGAGGGUAGCGACGGUGCCGAGGCUUCUCCUAGGUCUAACGGUAGUGGACGAUGGUGGCGCAGCGUGGCAGCGGCGGUCGGGUGAUGCCUUCCGGCCGCACCAAGUCUGCUGGCUUUUCCUCACCAGCAAUGGCCUUUUGGUGCACGGCAGCGCCAGGGACGGCUCUGGGAGGGUCGCCGGGCUCUUAGGUGACGGCGGCAGCGGCCCAAGUCGAUGGUGGCACCGGUACAAGGGACUUGAGUCUACCAAUACCCGAGAGAGAGAGAGGGAGAGGGGGGAGAGAAAGAGAGAAAGAAAUCAAAGGAUAGAUGAAGGAGGGCUUAGACCGACUACAACGCAGGUCGAGAAGGUCGCCGGCGAUGAUCGUGCGCGAGUAGGGUUUCUUGGGCCAGCGGUGAAAGGGUAUCAGGAGUUAGAGUUACCAUCCGUCCCUCUUCCCUGUGUGUGUGUGUGAAUAUAUAUAUAUAUAUAUAUAUAUAUAUAUAUAUAUAUAGAGAGAGAGAGAGAGAGAGAGAGAGAGAGAGUGGGCUGGUAUGCGUUAUGGAAGCACGGAGCCCUCCGUGCUUCCAAGUUGUUUUCGAUGUUUCGACUUUUGAAUCGACGAUCGCUCCGUUAGAGUUGAUCUAGAGUAUUUGAAGUACUAGAAAAUAAUUUUUUUCGAUAUCAUUUGCCUAGUGAUCGAAGGGGUUCAAAAUCAAUAAUUUUAAUGGCCGUGGUGAGCCGGUUGCAAGUUUAACGGUGUAGAAAUAUCCAAAUCACAUGAAAUUUUGAUAGAAAAUUCUUUAUACCAUAUAAAACAAGAUCAAUAACUUUGAUCUAAAAUUUUAAUGUCAUAUCAUCAUAUUUUGUAAGAUUUUUAUUUUCAGCCGUUGAUUUUGAGCCACUUCGAUCACUAGGCAAAUGAUAUCGAAAAAUCGCAAAAUUUAUUUUCUAGAUACUUCAAAUACUUCAAAUACUCUAGAUCAAGUCUAACGGAGCCGAUCGUCAAUUCAAAAGUCCGAACAUCGAAAACAAAGUGGAAGCACGGAGCCCUCUGUGCUUCCAUAAGCAUCCUAGCCACACUAUAUAUAUAUAUAUAUACCUAUAUGCAUACGUAUACAUACAAACUAAUGCAAACAUGCAAAGUAGCCCCUUGGAGUUCCCCUUCUUUAGCCUUUGAACCCUAGAAUUGAGAAAUCUACACAACGAAAUCAUCUCGCAAUCAACUUUCCAAGUUUACGUGUUAAACAUCGCAUUUUUAACUGAAAAUUCCCUCGAUCAACUAUCCUUCAUACAACUUCAUCUCCCCGCCAUUUUGCACAGAAAAUCUCAAAUUCUGUGAAAUUUGAAACAUAAGAUUACCCUCAACUCCCUAUGCCGUACUUGGGAAAGCCUGAUUACCUUACCCUAAGUGCCUACUAAAUUAAGAGAAGCUCGAUUGCCCUCGGCGCUCUGCUUGGUGUUUAUUAAGGAAAUAAAACCAAACUAAUAAGUUGGUUAGAGAUGAGCUAUUAUUUGGGAUAAUCAUCUAGGCCGUCGGUAUUAUCAUAUCAUUCUUGGAGUAUCAUUAUUUCACUAGAGACAAAUCGUUAUCAUAGUAAUAAUAGUAGUCUUUCAUUACUCACUAUUCUACUUUUGUCUCCUUUGGACUGAGGUAGUGUAGAGUGCUACUUUCUGUAGUUGCACCCACCAGAAACUUAUUUCAAUUUCUUACCCUAUUGUUGUUGUUGCUUUUUAAGAGCCAUCCUUUGCCGGUAAGGCGCAUGAUUGCAACAAGAAUGUCGCGAGUUAGAUAAACCGUGGCUAUUCGGUCUAGAGAAUACAUAUUUACUAGAUCUUGGCAAAUAGGCAAGGUUAUAAUUGGAGUGGUUGGUUAGCACAUCAGUUGACUACUAGAUCGAGUUGGAGCCAUUUUGGUGCAAAUGAAUGUAAAAAUAGACUUAAGAAGUUGAGUACUGAUAAAACUAAAGUUUCAACAACUUUUGGAUGUCUGGAAGUGGCUCAGGGCACUCAAAAAUGGCAUACAAGUGCUAAUAUUGAUUCAGGACCCUAGAAACGGACGCCCGAAUGCAUCGUAACUAGGUUUGAAAGUUGGUAGAAGUGUAUUGGACGCCCCGAGUUACUCUAACAGUACGGAAGAGCGUUAGUGACAGAUUUGGCUGUAGCAUAGACACAUGCACAGUGACUCAGCAGGAGAUUCGUUUGCAGGGUUCGGGUACCCAAAAUUCACGGACUUCUGUCCGGGCACCCGAAAGCCUAUGCAGACCCAGCUAUGAUGGGUUCGGGCAUUCCGUUGCAACUAAGGGGUGUACAGUUAUUGGAUUCGGACACCCGAAGGUUAGUUCCAGGCACCUAAAAGUUAGCUUUUUGCUACAAAUGAAUUAUUUUUGACUCUGUAGGUUUUUUUUAUAUAUUUUUCUUUGCCUAUAUAUACCUAAGGGAUUUGCGUGUUACUGUUCGGACACCCAAAUUAGUUCAUUUUUGGACAAUAGGUGGCUUAUAGUGAUGGUUAGUAUCCUUCAGGACACUUCAUGGAUUUUGAAAGUGUUUUCGAUGAGUUUUUGUGAGUUUCUGCGGGUUUUGAGAAUCAGUCAAAGAACUAAUUACUCAAUUGUGUCGGGUUGUAAGUUAAGUGAACUGUAGGUCACUUUAGGGUUAGUCUUGAGUUUUGGAGUGGUUUGUAACUCCGUAGGAUCUUUCGCAGGUCUGGGGGAUGUUUAGGAGCAUCAUCAAAGUCACGGGUCUAUAGUCGAUUGUUGAGGUGGGCGCUUCAAUCUAAAGUUGGUAAAGUGGUGCCUACUCGGCUAUCUCUUUCCUUUUGAUCUCCUCUUUGAUUGCAUGAUAUUGAUUGAGCACCUCAUUACAUCACUUGACUUUUUAGAUAUUUGCUCUGGUUGUCGAUUUACCUAUUGUUCAUCAUGAUUGAGUUGUAACCAAUAUUCAUUAUGAUUGGACUAUAUUGUACAAGUAUAUGAUGUUAGUUGAUCUUGUGGCCGGUGACACAGUAUUAUGUAUUGCAUGAUUAUAACAGAUGACCAUGUUAUUUGGUUGACUUCAUUGGUCGGUGGCAUGGUGCUAUCUUUGAGAUAUAAGAUGACCUGAUUGGUUGGUGACUUCUUAAUUGAUCUUUCUCGGCUAUUUGCCGACAGUUGGCUAUUGAGCAUAUAGCAUCGAUCGCUAUAGCUCAUAGAGCAUUUCACAUAUACCAGCAGUUUGGCCACCACAACUGUGUUCUUUUUUGAAAAAAUAGUUGUAUUUCAAACCCGUGCGCCCUAUGCGAUAUAUGUUAUAUGCCGGUGGGAAAAUAGGUUGUGACAUUAUUUGAGAUCAUUAAACCAACAUGGUGAUAUGAUUUGGUUUAUUUGGACUGUUUGUCCGAUUGAUGCAUGCUUGUCUAUUCGUUUAUCUUACAGUACUUGUUUAUAUUUGUAUCAUUAAUAGUCAUUUAUCUCAUUUUCAGUAUUAUUAUUGCUACUGUACUUGCUCACUACUUUAUACCUGUCGACUAUUAUCUCUUUUGUUUGCUAGUGAGUAUACCUUGCCUUCGUCGGUUUGCGAUACCCACUGGAAAACAUGUUUAUAUGUUUCUCACCUCUUAUUUUUACAUGUGACAUGAGAGCUGAGGAUUGGAACAGUGCGUGAGGAUGCUACUAGAUAGAUGUAUUGUCACGCCCCGGGACCGGCGGAGGCCCUCCCGGUAGCGCGCCCAGACCCGCCAUAUGCCUACACAUAUAAAGCGUCUACAACAAAACGGAAGAAUAAGAUAAGAGAUGAACUACAUCUAGAGAUAUCAGAACAAGUAUACAUCUAGAAUCUAUAGUAGAUAAAACAUAACUAAACAAUAAAAGUAAAGCAUAACGUUAUACAGUAUCCAUCUCAAAAGUACAAAAAGGGGUGGUCUCUAAAAAUGGUAUAAAUCUCUCAAUCUCUCCAAAAAGAAACAAAAGAGAGGUGGACCACCUAUCCAAUAAUCCCUCGCUAGCUAGCACGAGGCGAUUCCUUUCCCGCAAUCCUGAGCCUCUCCCGGAGUAGAAGGCUCUGAAAGAAAACAUAAAACAGGAGGCGUGAGAACUAUAAUUUAUAGUUCCCAGUGGGCAAUUACUGACCUUAGCAAAACGCACCACUAGGCCCAAGUCAUGAGCAGAUAUAGGAAAUGAAAUAAUAACUGCGGAAGUAAAAGCAUAUAAUGAAAUGCUAUACUACUAUGCCACAAUUAUACAUGAUAUGAACAUGGAGUAUAUCUACUCUGUCAUGAAUCCAAUAUGCCGAUACAUAACAAGUAUGCUCUAUCAUGGCUACCAAGUAAGCUGUGAUGUAACAAGUAAUACUAUCAAGUAUACAAUAUGUNNNNNNNNNNNNNNNNNAUUUGCACCAGCCUUAACUCUCUAAUUUUAAAGAAAGCAAGUCAGUCCAAUCUGACUCGUACGCACGGUUUAAAGCUCGAGUUAGCCUGCAAGCCUUCCCGUAAGCCAUUCACAAAUCAUAAACUCGAUGUUAGAAAACACGAAUCACAAAACCAUCAGAGAUAUCCACUACAAUCGUGACAAAAAAGAGUAAACUAAACCGAAUAAACUCCGUUAACACUCUCCGAACCCAAGAUCUCGUCCAAAAAAAAGUACAACCCCAAACUAGAGUAAAGAGAGAUCAAGAGUGGGGAGUGAGGAAAAGAGAAGAUUAGAGAGGUGUUUUCUCUUAAUUAACCUCUUCUUCAACCUCAUCUUAGGAACUUUCAACCUCUCAUCGAACCUCGAGUUCGAAAGUAGAAGAAGGAGAGAUAAUCUCUUUCGAAACCUCCAUUCGAAACUAUCAUUGAUACCAUCUAACGAUUCCUUACUAAGCAUAGGAGAUCCUUACCCAAAUCUCUUGAGGGAUCUACGAUUGUUGUAUAAUUAACGUACUUAGUUCAAGGUUAAACCACUAAAGAACGUUAUCAUCGUACAAUUCCGAGUUUAAACCCAAAACGUUAUACAUCUCCAAACUAGAUUUAACUCAUACAUAUUUGGAUUAACGAUCCAAAAGACUGCGCAACCACUUCAGCCGAGCCGCUAUGCUGCUCCGAUGCGCUUCUAUAACUUCUUUUCCGGCUAAAGCCAAGUCUAAUAGCGUCGAGCGCCGCAUUCGAAGGUUUUUAGUGCUUUGGGCUUAGCAUCGUAGCACUGUAGUGGAUUUCAGAACCUCGAUUCUCUCAGCCCCCGUGCUUCCCAGCACACCUCGAGAACCACCCAAACUGGAUCGAUGUUUACUCUUUUAGAGUAAAUACACCUAAAUUCAUAGCAUUUUACUUUUUAGUGCAUAAAAGUACUUUCUACGUAAUAAACACUUAAAAUCUUACGAACUUUACGAAUACAAUAUAUGUUACGUAAAAGCCUGGAGAUACAUCAUCUCUCGAACGUACACUCUGAAUACGUACCCAAAUCGUAAGAUUAACCCUGAACUUUAGUACGAGGUAUAUCAUCUAUACUGUUUACAUUAUACGGAACCUGUAUUUAGAGUAAACCUGUAUUCUCUUAUGUAAUCCGGUAUUUCACCGAAACCUAAACUUAUUGAACACUCAAUCCCUCGAUUACAGCAUUACGCUGUAGCCCGAACUCGAUACUUACUCAGAUCGUUUCAUUACGGUAUCUCUCCGUAAUCUGAACUUACUAUACACUUAACAUACACGUACAAUUAUAAUACUCUUAAUACGAUUCAAUCAUCAACGUAACCUUUUACAUACGUACAUCGUAAUACUCUUGAUACGAUACAACUAUCAACGUAUGCCUGUGUAACUUUGGUAUAUAAUCACCUAUCUACGUACAAUUAUAAAUAUACGUAACACCUCAUGGACGAUCCAUGUAUAAUCGUUACACUCUAGUAUGAUCUCUCGUACGCAUAAUUGUAUAAUAACUAUCCCAUUCGAUUAUAGUAUUUCUCCGUAACCCGAACCUUAACCAUAUAAUUCGAUUAUAGUAUUUCGCUGUAACUCAAACCUUGUAUAUACUUGGAUCAUUUAUCACGGUAUUUCUCCGUACUUUUAACCUUAUACGAACCUAUAUCAUUACAAGAUCACAGGAUUUCUCCGUGAUCUGAAUCACUUACAACCUUGAAGUGAAACUCUGUAUCUGAUCUGGGAACCCUAAUGAUCACCGAUAAGGUACAAUCUCUGUACUACUGCUCUAGGAACUGUACUACUGAUACCAAUGAACGGUAAACACGAGUAAGCGUGUACGAACACUCCCAGCGAGGGAUGUUCGACCGUAAGGCCUCAACCGGAAAACGCUGUGUCAAGCGCGCACGACCUAACUCUGCGGACAUCCCAGCGCACCCUGUCAGAGUAAGGUCUCACCCUACUGCUCGAUGGUGCCCGUUGAUCCACCGCUCCGCGGACAUCCCAGCGCACCCUGUCAGAGUAAGGAGCUCCCCCUUACAACCUCGAUGGUAUCCGUCGAUCCGCCGUGUUCAACCUGAUGUGUACACAUCCAGGACCUACUCUAACUUACUACUUGGAAUUAGCUAAUUUACUGUUAGUGAUGAACUAUCAUAUAGCAUCAACCUAAAUCGACUGUAACCCUAAACACCAUGGGAAUCAAGGAUACUAUCAUGUAUGGUCUAUACAUAACUUAAACCCCUGUAUAACAUAUGAACUAUCAUAAUGAACAAUGUAGUGUAUAACAUAUGAACUAUCAUAAUGAACAAUGUAGUGUCGAAUGAACCAUCGGUACUAUCUCGGUCACCGAAAGCUGUACCGAACUGUAAUCUUUAUCAGAUAACUGUCGGAUUUUAUUUUUCGCCUUCCGGGUGUCAGAAUGACAUGAAACCUUAAAUCUAGCCUCAUAAAAAUAAUUCUGACACAUUCCCAGAUUUUCGAAAUUUUCUGACACUGUGCAUUUUCUGCUAAAAUAACAGUCUCGAUUCACACAGAAAAUUCAAAAUCUUCUGUUCUCGCUUCGAUUUCCGCACGAGUCGUUCCCGACUUAUAUUUUACUUCUAUAAGCCCAAUAAAUAUAGUAUCACACACUAUUUUUAUUUAUUUUUAUCCUUAUUUAAAAUUCGGUAUGCUACAUGUAUUCUGAGCUUUGAUUGUCGAUUACUUAUAUAUUCGUGCACUUGAUUCAGAUACUAUUGGUUUUAGUUUUGUUAUUCAUCAGUUCUUGAUAUAAUUGUAGUGUAUCAAAUUUUAAUACAAAAUUAAGUGUAAAUAAAAAUAGUGUGAGAUACUAUUUUUAUUGGACUUAAAGAAGUAAAAUAAAAGUCUGGAUUGACUCGUGCUGAAAUCAGAAUGAAACAGAAGAUUUAGAAUUUUCUGUGAGAAACGAGACUGAUAUUUUAGCAGAAAAUGCAUAGUGUCAGAAAAUUAUGAAAAUUCGAAAUAUGUUGGGAUUAUUUUUAUGAGGCUAAAUUUAAAGUUUCAUGUCAUUCUGACACCCGGAAAGUGAAAAAUAAAAUCCGACUGCUAUCUGCUAGAGACUUUUUGUCGGUAGAGCUUUCGAUGACCAAAAGUGGUCGGUUCAGAGUCUUCGUGCAAUCGGUUGAGCAGCGUGCUUUCGACUCGGCGUUCGCAAAUUCGGUAAGUGUUUAGGAUUCGACUAAAUCCUUUAUGCUUAGUGUUCUAGUAGUCUCUAGAGUGAUGUUAGCAUGUUUUCUCCAUUUAAUUUGGAUUAUUUGAGGCAAUUGUGGAGGCUAGGGUUCUAGAGAAGGUUUUUGUAAAUGUUGGGGUUUGAUCUAAAUUGAACCCAUGUAAACUAAAUUGCUAGGUUUUCUGAUGUGUUGGCGAAGACGGUUCAGCAAUCCGUCGAGGCUACGCGAAGAUAUUGAAGAAAUUGAUGUUUUGGCUUCGUUUCCGCCUAGAGGGCCGAGGCGGCGUCCAAAAAUAACGAAAACGGAUUCCUAGCAUCGCGGCAUCAAGUUAUAGACCUUUAAAAUUCGAGGCCACGAAAUGACGCACGGUUGGCGAGUAUUAGCAAGAUCGGGCCAAACCGGAUAUUGUGUGCCGCGCGAGGUCGAUUGCAAGUGUUGACAAGCAACCGGAGAGCGUUGCGAGGUGGGUUGUGCUCACCGAAGAUAUUAGUUCACUUCCAUAUCGAAGUGGAGCGUUGUUUAUUAUUGAUGCAUAUAAUGGUAACUAGUUGUAGAAUGAUAAAUGCAUAAGAAAUAUGCUAAGUGAAUGCAUGAAAAUGAUAUUAUAGAAAUGCAUAAAAUGUUAUAUGAAUGCAUGUUAUAGAGGUUAUAUGAAUGCAUGAAAGUGAUACUAUAGAAAUGCAUGUUGGUAUAGUUUGGAUUAUGCUAGAUGAUGUAUAUAUGUAUAUUGACAUAUCAUGAGAUGCUAGUUGGUAUAUGUGCAUGAUGACAUGUUGUGAAUUAACAUAUUGUGGAUUAUGUUAAAUGAAAAUAUAUACAUGAUGACAUAUUGCAUAUGAUAGAUGUAUUAUGCAUGUUGACAUAUAGAGGAUUAUGUUAAUUGACAUAUGCAUGUUGAACUUGGUCGAUUAGAGAAUUCGACAUUGAAAAACAAGAAUAUGAACUUAGGAUAGAUACUGAUCUCCUGAGUAGUAGCAUGUAAACCAAAGAGUGGCAUUUGGACUAGUGUAGUAGAGACAUUAUGACAUGAACUUAGGAUAGCUGAUGAUUUCCUGAGUAGUAGCAUGUGAACUAGUGCAGCAGAGGCACUAACUAUCCUCCAGUGAGGGGAUUGGAUCAUACUCACAUAGUCUGUUUAACCUUUGCGUUGUCGCUCCACCCAAGUAGUUAGCUCCGGAGUAGUAGUCGCGUUGGGGUAGACGUAGUUGUCCUGCAGACGGUCUCGGGUGGGUGUAGCACAGAGUCUCCCCACCAGCGAGAUUUGAGAUGUGAGUCGGGCUUAACCUUUUGGUUAGCCAGUGAGAUUUGGUGACAUUCUUGUGAGCUAUGGAUGAAUCCCAGCGGAGGGGAUUGGCAUCCCAAUUGGCAUCCCAAUUGAGUGGAUUUGAGGCUGAGGUGCAUGCGAGACGUCCUGCACCUCAGGCCUGGCUUUACGCGGUACUCCGCGGAGGAUUGACUCUAGACCGAGUCGAGUGGAUAGCUUGGUAAAGGUAGAUAAAACCUUAUGAGUCAAUGGUAAAGAUAGAUGAAACCUUAUGAGCAGAUUGUAAAUAACAUGAAUCUAAGAUAGAGGAAGACUUAGGCGUCAAUUGAAUGAGCUGUGGAUAGCGAAACAGAAAGUAGAGUUAGUAGAUCUACUUACCUCAUUACAUAUUGAGUUGCAUGAUUUACAUUGUUGCAUGUUGCGAGGCAUGAAUAUGGUAAAUGUUAGUUGCAUAAAAUAUUUGAUGAAAUAUAUAUAUCUGUGAAUACUUGUUGGACUAACAUGUUGCAGUUCCUCCUUCGGACCUGGUGGGUCGAACUUUUUCCUUGGGUAGCAGUACCCACUGGGAACUAUGGACAAUAGUUCUCACCCCCGUGUUGUUUUGGGGGUACAAGUUCACACAUGAGCGGCGCGGCGGCGCGAGGACAGGGCGUAGCUUCGUAGAUAGCGCCCUACCACAGAGACCAAAGAUAACAUUACCCCGAGUUGGCCUAGCUAGGGUUGUAGAGAAACAAUGUUGUAUUAAUCUUGAUUGUAUUUGGAGAAAAAGAAAACGAAAAUGUAAAAUGUAAAAAGCAUGUGAUGUGAAUGAUUGUAAUAGCUUAGUUGUUUUAUGUUUUUAAUACUUCCUUAUGCAAUCUGUGAUUGAAUACUGUUCCUAGUUGGAACCUCUUGUAUUGUAUUGAUUGCGAUGCCUAGGACGUACAGGGAAAACUCUGUCCGUUCGGCGGUCUGUCGGCGUGCCCAAAUCCGACCAAAUAGGCGGGUCUCGGGGCGUGACAAUAAUAAUGGUGGAUUUACAUUUACCUGCAUUUAGGUGAUUUAGACUUUAGAAUAAAUGUUGAUUCUAAUUAUUCAUUGAUUUCUAUCUGCUAGAUGUUUAGUCAUAUUUAUCCUUUACCUAUUUGCUAGUUGGUGUUGUUGUUAUUGUGUCCUUUGUGGUUGUAUGUGCAGUUGAUGUUGUACUCUAGGUUCUACGUCGUCCACGUAAAGGGAAGACUCUGUCCGUUUGUACAGAGGAGCCUCUGUCCAUGUGACGGGUUUGUGCAUGCUGCAUAGUGUUCUUUGGUGAUUGUUUAUUUUUAACUUGAUUGUAGCCCUAUCUGAUGUUACUGAACAUGGCAUGCACGAGAUUGUUGACAAGGGAAGACAAUGACAUUAUGCCAACUCUCAAGAGACUGAUGAUGCGGACCGUGUCGGAGAUUGGAGAAACAGGUAGCCGCAUGGGCAGGUCUAGUACAGCAAGUGGUGCAACAGUAUGUUGCAGCUAGGGCUAACCAGGCUCCACCGUCGGGGCAGGACGCAAGUGUGGCCACAGGCAUUGCUGCUGAUGUUCCCCCCGAGGCGGUUGGUGUAACUGCUGCUAUUAAUGCAGCUGGUGGCGCUACUGCUGUUGAUGCACGACAGUCACGACAGCCAUACCCACGAUGGUCACGAUAACCAUUGUGGUUACGCUGGUGGUUGGAGGCCCUGAACCUAUGGGCACCGCUGGUGUAGCACCCAUGGCGACGAUGUCUUCCACAUCUAUCGGGGAUAACGACUCACAGGCCGCGAAGUGGGCCCUUGUGAGAGCGAGCUUGGCGGAGUUCAAAAAGUUUGAUAUGCUAAAGUUCUCCAGCAAAAGUGAUGACCCAUAGGCCGUAGAGAAAUGGGUCAAUCACAUGCAGAAGCCGUUUCGAGACCUCUACAUCGAGGGAUAAGAAAAGGCUCCCUUGACCACUUAUUUUUUGGAGGAGGGUCGUUACGCCAUCUUUUCCAUCCUAGAAGAAGUUCAGGGAGUUGAUUUAUGACCACUAUUUAAAGAAAAUACCAAGCAGAGCCUAGAGCAGGAACUUGAGUGACUAAAGCAAAUAAGUCGUGCCAUGGCAGAGUAUUAGCGGGAUUUCUCUCAUAUCAUCCGAUUGAUCCCUUUCGUGGUCCGCAAUGAGUAUCACAAGGCAAGACUAUUCACCAAGGGCUUGAGGCCUAAUAUUCGGAGGUUGAUCAUCUCCUAUGGCAUCAUGACGUUUGUCGAGUGCUUGGAUCAGGCUCUUAUGAUCCAAAGCGACAUUGAGGCACAAGCUGAGUAGAAGUUGACAUAGAAGAUCUAGGUCAAGAAAUGUCCUUAUUCGAAGUAUGUUGGUGGAUCUUCAGCCAGCAAGAGAUGAUCAACCUUGUAUGAUUUGCGGCAAAGCACAUCCGGUGAACACGUGCCCUCAAUAGCAGGACCACUACUUCCGAUGUAGUCAACUAGGAUAUACUUGAGCCAAAUGCCUCAUGGGUAAUGGUUUGGCUCAGAGUGUUGCUUCCUUCCCUUCUAUUCCGCGCUAGAACCGUGGGACUACAUGUGCUGCGACGUCAUCUGGGCGCUACUCCACCUCACGCUAGAAUAAGAGGAGGGGAGGGGGGCGGGAUCAGGCACUAUGUCUACAAUAUCGCCCAACAAGAGGGAGAUGCACUCGAGGAAGUCAUUGCAAGUAUAACCUCUCUCUUUGGUACUCGAGCUAGAACUUUAUUUGAUACUGGAGCAUCUCACUUAUUUAUAUCUUGUUCUUUUGCACGUGACCAUAGCUUCACGAUAAAGCAACUGUCACCGACGUUCCGCGUAAAAACACCUGGUAACCAUAUUGAUGUGGAUAAGAAUCAUUGGUCGUGGCCUGUGUUGUUGGGCAACCAAGUAUUCCUGGCCAAUCUAAAACUUAUACCGCCAAGGGAGUUCGAUGAGGUGCUUAGAAUGGACUAGCUCACUGGACACCAUGCUAUCAAUAAUUGUGAGCAGCUCGGGAUGGAUGAGUUCAUCUAUCGAGCAUGUAAGAGCUUCUUCUUCACCAUGACCAUCUCUUCGGCUAGGGCCAAGUAACUCAUGAUCGAUAGAUGCGUGGCCUACUUGGCUUCAGUGGACAUCAUCCGCAGGGUGCCUCCAAAUCUAGAGGAGAUUCUGAUAGCUCGGAAAUUUUUCGAUAUAUUUUCUAACGAGCUACCCAGAAUAUCUUCAGAUCAAAAAAUAUUCUUUAUAGACUUGGUUAUUAGCACGAUUCCUAUUUCAAAGGCUCUGUAUUGAAUGGCCUUUGCUGAGCUGAAGGCUCAUCUAGAGGAUCUUCUAGACAAGGGAUUCAUCAAGCCUAGCGUGUCCCCUGGGUACAUUUGUCUUUUUAUUCAAAAAUAAAGAUAGUAGUAGUCUGUGGCUAUGCAUUGACUAUCGAAAGCUAAAUAAGAUUUUUAGGGAUCGACAAUCUUUUUGACUAGCUAUAGGGAUCAUCAGUCUACUCAAAAAUCAAUCUGCAAUCAGACUAUCGCCAACUAAAAACCAAGGCAGACAAUGCGGCGAAGAUUACAUUCAAGACUCGUUACGGCUACUACGAGUUCACGGUGAUGCCUUUUGGGCUUAUUAAUACCCCAAAGACAUUUAUGGACAUGAUGAACCAAGUCUUCAGGCCAUACCUAAAUUAGUUUAUGGUGGUGGUCAUCGACAACAUACUGAUCUAUUCGCGGAGCAAUAAGGAGCAUAAGGAUCGUCUUCGGCAGGUUCUCCAAGUCCUUUGGGAGAACAAGCUAGGCUAAACACUAGAUGCAAGUUCUGGCUCCAAAAGGUCUCUUUCUUAGGACAUAUUGUGACUUGAUCGGAUAUUGUUGUGUGCCAAGAUGCAAGUUCUGGCUCCAAAAGGUCUCUUUCUUAGGACAUUUUGUGACUUGAUCGGAUAUUGCUGUGUAUCAAAAGAAAAUAGAGUUAGUGGUGGAUUGGCCCCGACCAACUAGCGUGACCGAGAUCAAGAGUUUCCUUGGUUUAGCGAGUUAUUACCGACGAUUCGUUUGGGCUUUUCCAAAAUCGGAACCCCAUUGAACAAGCUGAUAAGGAAAGUAGAAAACUUCCAAUAGACUCCUGAGUGCUAGAGAAGUUUUGAGGAACUCGAGGACAGAUUGAAACGCGCUCCCAUCCUAGCAUUGUAGAGACUCGGUGAGAACUUCGUGGUUUAUUACGAUGCCUCAUAGAUACGGCUGGGGUGUGCGCUCAGGCAAUAGGACCAAAUUAUUGCCUACGUGUCGUGCCAGCUGAAGGACCAUGAGAGAAACUACCCGACACACGACCUUGAGUUCGCGGUAGUGGUGUUCGCCCUUAAGUUAUAAAGGCAUUAUCUAUACGGGGCGCAUUGCGAGGUGUUCACAAACAACUGGAGCCUGAAGCAUCUUUUCACAAGGAAUGAUCAUAUCUCAGGCAAAGGUGGUGGCUUGAACUCUUAAAGGACUAUGACCUAUCUAUCCAGUACCACUCAAGAAAGGUGAAUAUGGUGACCAACGCUUUGAGCUGGAAGCUGGCCUCAGCCGAACUGUUGAUCAUGAUAACCAAAUAGGAUCACUGGAUGAAGGAGUUCCAUCGGUUGGAGUCGAAGGUUGUAACCCUCGAGGACUAUUGCCCAAUUGAUGAUCUUGGUGGUACAACCCGUCUUGGGGGACAAAAUUAAGCUCGGGCAGUAAUCAGACUCGUACUUAUAGAAAGUGCAGGCAAACAUCGAGCAAAAAGUGCAGGCAAACAUUGAGCAAGGGAAAGUUGGGGAUUUUAUGAUCCACUCUGAUAGUUCUACAUGUUUUCGAGAUUGAUUGUGCAUGCCAUAUGAUUUUGAGUUGAUGCGAGAGGUCCUAGUCAAGGCGCACCGGUCUCCGUACACCGUUCAUCUUGGCAGAAUCAAUAUGUACAGGAUCAGAAGCUGAAUUUCUAGUGGUCGAAAUAAAAAUGGAUAUGGCUCAGUGCUUUGUGAGUCAGCACGUGAAGGCUGAAUACCCGCGACCUGGAGAGAAGCUACAACCCCUCCCUAUGCCCAUGUGGAAGUGGGAGUAGAUUACCAUGAACUUUGUCACGGAACUGCCUAGGUCGCAGUGGGGCCACGACUUGAUAUGGGUCAUUGUGGACUCGUUGGUUCACUUUCUGCCGGUGCACACGACUUGGUCUAGAUAUUGACUACCUUAGUUCUACAUCGACAAGAUUGUUCGGCUUCAUGGAUUACUAGCAUCGAUUGUGUUUGAUUAGGACACCUGCUUUGUAUCUCAGUUUUGAAGGAAUUUACAUCAGGCAAUGGGUACAAACCUAAACUUCAGCUUUGUUUACUAUCCGAGAAUUACAUCAAGCAAUGGGUACAAACCUAAACUUCAGCUUUGAUUACGAGUCUGAGCAUGUAUUCAGACCUUGGAGAACAUGCUCCGUGCCUAUCCUGAAUUAUGGCGAAGGGUGAUUCAAGUAUCUACCUAUGGGCCUACAACAACAAUUAUCAAGCAAGUAUCGAAAUGACACCGUAUGAGGCUUUGUGUGAGCGUAGAUAUCGACUCCCAAUCUGUUGGGACAAUGUCGAUGAACGCCGAAUGAUUAGACCAAACUUGUUGGAUUCGGAGGCUAAUGUUCGUAUUGCAAGGUAACAGCUAUUGACCGCAUCUCAUCUAUUAAAUACUAUGUACUUUUUGAAUAAUUCAAUACAAUAUACCGAAUAAGAUAUUCCAGCAUACAAACAGUGCUUAAAAGUGUGCUAUACCACAACUCAAAAUUGGACUUCCUAGUGAGACGCAUCAAGCUGAAUUUUCGUUCUAUAAUCCAAUGAUGAUUUCACUGACUUUCGCAAAUAAAUGUUUCCUAUGCACCCAUAAUAGAUUCCCAUACACUCCAUUUAAUCUAUGAUUUUACCAAGAAAACACAAAACAUGAGACCAUAGCAGAUCCUUGCCAUUCUCAUUAUAAAUGCUUACACUCAGAUUUUGAAGUGCAUUCCGAAAUUUAGAUCACCACACAUGCCAUGUUAUCCUCACCAGUAUGAAUACUUAGUCUCCUAAGUUGUUAAUUUUAUAUUUCUUAUCAAAGCAUUUUUUUUCAAGGGUUUUUAAAAAACUUACAUUCGGACAAUACUUAUCAAGAACUUUCAUAGUAGGGGGUCUCUGAAUAUGCUACUUCAAAAAGAGUAGUAAUUUCAAACGUAGCCCUCAAAUUUUUUUGUUAAAAAAAUAUAUAAAUAUCUCUUCAAGGUUGGAGGAAGGGUAUAUAUGAAAUUUAACCCUAAAUUAUAAUAUAAAUACUCUUUUCGUCGAUUGUUCUCAAGUUAAAACACAAAAUGACCAAUAUACCCCUCACAAACUACCAUGACCCAAGCCACCGCCACUGAGUUAUAAAGGAGUUUGAAUCUUAUAUAAGAUUCAAUGGUGGCAACUUGAACUGGGGAUAGUAACUUUUGGUUUCAUUUAUAUCACUUAGGAUAACUUUUUUAUUUUGCAUAUGCAAAGUAGUAUAAAUAAAAGCAGUCAAUGCAAAUUUUUAAAACUACAAAUCUGAAAUAAAAACAUAGUAAUACGAAUCAUAAAAAAAACUACAUCUAAAAUAAUAUAAAGAUCUAAAAGUAAUCAAAGUAAACUAUAAAAUUACAAAUAUGAAAUAAACACAUAGUAAUAAAGGUGAAUCUAACUUCGGAACUACACCUAGAAUGAUAUAAAGAUGGGCUUUUUUUGCAAAUAGUCCCCUGAGCAAUUUUUAUUUUAAAAAUAGCCCUAUCAAAAUUAAAAUUGCAAAAAUGACCCUGUCCCUGCCACGCAGGCGCCACGUCAGCGCCACGCAGGCUGGGCUGAGGCCAGGGUAUUAAUUCAAACACGAUCAAAAUUAAAAUUGCAAAAAUGGUCUUGUCCCUGCCACGCAGGCGCCACGUCAGCGCCACGCGGGCUGAGAUGAGGCCAGGGUAUUAAUUCAAACACGGUGAACAGUUCACCGUGUCUAAACACUGUGUUUAGUAUGUAUUUUUUGUAUAUUGAAAAAUGAAAUAAGGAGUAGGGAUGUCAAUAGGUAUGGAUAUCCGAAAUAUUAUUCGAAUCCAAACCCGAAUAAAUUAUAUAUAUAUAUAUAUAUAUANAACUUAGAACCCUUUGGCUUGAAAAUAUUAGAACAAAGGGUCUUACGGGCCUUGUCAACAACAUGGGGUUAUACUCUGCCAAUACUGUGGUUUCAGCUGCAGCUAGUGAAAAUCAUUGAUCAUAAACUAAAAUUUAUUUUAAGGCUGAAUUGCUUACUGCAUUCCCUUAGUGAUUUAUAAUUGGGAAGGAAGAAAAAAAAUGGUUCUUUUGAUUGUGCUUAUAUUGAAAUUUGAAUAUUUUAAUCAUUUAUACCAGCUUCAAUCUUUACUGAAGUGUUUUUGAAGUGAAUAAUUCUCAAUGACAUUUUAGAUAUCAGCAGCGUCAGCAUCUGGUAGAUGUGACGGAGAUAUUUAAUCUACUCCAUCGAGAGAAGAAGCGGCGCCUUAUUAAGCUCAUCAGUCUCGUUGUCCUUCUCUUUCUUUCUUUAUUCUGGUAAAUAUAUCACAAGAUUUUUCAGAUUAGUAAGAGCACCUCAAGAAUAAAAUAUUAAUCAUCCCUUCUUUGUUCUUUACCUGUAGGAUGAUCUGGAGUGUGUUGGAGGAUGACGAUUAGUUGGAGAUGCUGUGGUUCUGGUUACUGUGCAGUGCCCGCUCCAGCUGUAGGUAUCAGAAGGUGUGGUCCUAAGUCAGUCGGGAGCGCAAAAUGGUUUGCCGUCAUUUCCCACGUUGUGAUGCUCCCAUCUUGUUGUAACAUGUAUUUGGUGCUUUUCUUCAUUAUUCACUGUAGUACGCAUCAAUUGUUGAUAUCGUGGUGCUUCUGAUUGCUUCUAAACCUUUACUCUCCGUAUAGCUUAUUCCAUGAUGUCCAUGCAUGAUUAACCAAAGGAACUAAAAAGGAGCUUAUGCAGCUUCCUGCAUUUGUGCUUGCAUGAAAACAUUUCUAGUGGAGUAUUCUAUCUACAUCAAAAUUAUCUAUUUUAUUUAAGCAAGCAAUUCGCAGUCGGACGGGUACUUAGCAUAACGUUAUUUUUCUUCUUCUUUCUUGGGUUAAUUUUAUUAGUGCCUGUCGGCUCACUCCUAAUUAUAUUGAAACCUUUCAAGAGUUAUCAAUAUCAUGAAUGCCCCUCAAAUUCAGUUAAAUUAUCAUGAACCAUAAUACUGUUAUUCCACCCGAAAUAUGGCUUAAAUGUUUGUUUUACCCUUUCCACUCUUUGAUUGUUAAUUGUUUAGUUAUUAGUAUUAUUCUAGUUUAAUUAUUUAAAUAUGUCGUCACUGUGACUAAUUUAGUAUAUUUUUAUUUUAUUUGUUUAGUUCUGAUGGAAGAAUUAGAUACUUUUUGUCCGGUUUAUUUUUAUAUCUUUAUAGGGCUUUUUUUGCAUUUAGAUCCCUGGCAAAUUUUUAUUUUAAAAAUAGCCCUGUCAAAAUUUAAUUUGCAAAAGUGGCCCUCGGCUUGCCACCAGGCGCCACGUCAGCGCCACGCGGGCAGGGCCGGAACUGUGUGUUAAGUUGAACAUGGUGAACCAUUCACCGUGUUUAGACACGGUCAAUGGUUCACCGUGUUUAGUCUUUGAUCUUUUGUAUCCGUUAGAGCAGAGUAUUGAGUUAGGCAUGCACUCAACCCUGCGGUCCUAUAUCAUUCUAACCGCACAUCCCUUAAUCCAAUAACCAAAUAUCUAUAAUCACUAAUAACUUGGCAUUUUUAAAAGCAUAGAAGUACAAUAUAUAUAUAUAUAGAGUAGGGCUACUAUACUCUUAUGAGUAGUGGACCCUUACUACUCAUAAGUUGUUUUCGAUGAUGGAGCUUCCGAAUCGACGAUCCACUCCGUUAAAUAUGAUCUAGAGCAUUUAAAACUUCUAGAAAUUAAAUUUCAUAAUUUUUCGACAUCAUUUACCUUAUGAUCAAAAGCUCACAAAAUUGAUAAUUUUUAACGGCCGGUAUGGGAUACUUGCUAGUUUAACGGUGGAAAAGAAUCGGAAUAGGUUGAAUUUUUGAUAGAAAAUUCUAUACACUACCUAGAUAAAGAUCAAUAACUCCGAUCUUAAAUUGAGGGAUCCGAUCAUCCAUUUUUAGGACGUCGUUCGAUUUUGACCGUUCAUUUUAUGCCCGCUUGAUGGACUUUAUUAUGAUGUCGAAAAAUUAUGAAAUUUAAUUUCUAGAAGUUUUAAAUGCUCUAGAUCAUAUUUAACGGAGUGGAUCGUCGAUUCGGAAGCUCCAUCAUCGAAAACAACUUAUGAGUAGUAAGGGUCCACUACUCAUAAGAGUAUAGUAGCCCUACUCUAUAUAUAUAUAUAUAUAUAUAAUUUAUUCGGAUUUGAAUUUGGAUAAUAUUUCGAAUAUCUAUACCUAUUGACAUUCCUACUCCCUACUCUUUUCAACAUACAAAAUAUCCAUACUAAACACGGUGAACCAUUAACCGUGUCUAAACACGAUGAAUAGUUCACCGUGUUCAACUUAACACACAGUUUCAGCCCUGCCCGCGUGGCGCUGACGUGGCGCCUGGUGGCAGGCCCAGAGCCAUUUUUGCAAAUUAAAUUUUGACAGGACUAUUUUUAAAAUAAAAAUUUG